CUCAGGUGUUGUUGGGUAGGGGAGCGUUCUGUAAGCCUGCGAAGGUGGCCUGUGAGGGUUGCUGGAGGUAUCAGAAGUGCGAAUGCUGACAUAAGUAACGAUAAAGCGGGUGAAAAGCCCGCUCGCCGGAAGACCAAGGGUUCCUGUCCAACGUUAAUCGGGGCAGGGUGAGUCGACCCCUAAGGCGAGGCCGAAAGGCGUAGUCGAUGGGAAACGGGUUAAUAUUCCCGUACUUGGUGUUACUGCGAAGGGGGGACGGAGAAGGCUAUGUUGGCCGGGCGACGGUUGUCCCGGUUUAAGCGUGUAGGUGUGUGUUCCAGGUAAAUCCGGUUCACUUUAACACUGAGGC
RNAcentral lists this ribosomal RNA (349 nucleotides) under Salmonella enterica. Its description in RNAcentral is "partial 23S ribosomal RNA". It matches the Rfam family "Bacterial large subunit ribosomal RNA", at positions 1213 to 1562 of the family's 2925-position model. The record is from RNAcentral. Lineage: Bacteria; Pseudomonadati; Pseudomonadota; Gammaproteobacteria; Enterobacterales; Enterobacteriaceae.